CUGACAAGAUGACUGACAUGGAAGUGCAUAUGAAGCAAGGGAAUUCAGAGUUGGUGCCACCUAGAGAAAAUAUUUCAGCACAGAUUCUACCAAAAAUAUCUCAGGUGAAGAGAAGCUAUGCAACUUAAUGGGAGAAGAGAGAAAGUUGAAUCCAAGACACUGCUACUGCUUCAACAAAAGCUGAACCACAGACCUUACUACUAUUAAAUAACUCCUAAGUUAACAGGCAGAGGUAAGAUAGAAACAACUGGAGGAACAAUAAACACUCUUAUCUACCACACUUU
Numida meleagris (helmeted guineafowl) is the source of this 284-nucleotide long non-coding RNA. RefSeq lists it as uncharacterized. The record is from RefSeq and is a predicted model, not a curated record. The transcript is spliced from 3 exons. Lineage: Eukaryota; Metazoa; Chordata; Aves; Galliformes; Numididae.